This 253-nucleotide ribosomal RNA is filed under the name uncultured bacterium. Its description in RNAcentral is "partial 16S ribosomal RNA". It matches the Rfam family "Bacterial small subunit ribosomal RNA", at positions 524 to 776 of the family's 1533-position model. The record is from RNAcentral.
UACGUAGGGUGCGAGCGUUGUCCGGAAUUAUUGGGCGUAAAGGGCUCGUAGGCGGUUUGUUGCGUCGGGAGUGAAAACUCAGGGCUUAACCCUGAGCCUGCUUCCGAUACGGGCAGACUAGAGGUAUGCAGGGGAGAACGGAAUUCCUGGUGUAGCGGUGAAAUGCGCAGAUAUCAGGAGGAACACCGGUGGCGAAGGCGGGUCUCUGGGCCGAAACUGACGCUGAGGAGCGAAAGCGUGGGGAGCAAACAGG